Molecule: long non-coding RNA, 3364 nt
Organism: Bombus huntii
Lineage: Eukaryota; Metazoa; Arthropoda; Insecta; Hymenoptera; Apidae
Exons: 3
Source: RefSeq, a predicted model, not a curated record
UUAAAAAACAAUGCACGCUAUUGUUAUUUUCUCUUACAUAUUAAUUUAUGGAAGUGAUCAACGUGGCUUGUGAGCUACUAUAAGCAUGCACUAUAAACGUAUCGUUCUGCAAUUCGAAUGGAAUAUGAAAUUCCGAUUAAGGAACAUUCUGUUCUCUCCGUAAAUUAUUUACAAACUAUUAUUGAUCUUUCCCGACUAUAUUUUAAUUUAAUGUAAUCUCGAGUCGAUCUAUAAAUUUUCUCAAAAUGUUGACAUUUUUUAUAUAACGAAUUCUAUGAAAGAUUUAGCGAAUUCGAAGAUUUUUGUCGAGAAACUUGUAGUUGACUCGUUGUCGAGAAAUUUGUUGUGACAGCCGUGUUUCAUCUCGUACAGUGCUAAUGAAGUUUCAAAAUCUUUUAUAUAACGCAUAUAUAAUAUGGACGUACAAAUUUUGUACGUAUUCAAAUACCUUUCGUAAGCAAAUGUAUGUAAUGUAAAUUGUGCAAUAUGGGGGUACUGACUAAGGAAAAUACGAUAUAUUUUAUCCUAAAUUUUGAGUACAAUUACAAACGUUUCUUACGUAACGGUUAUUCCAGAGAAACAUUAGUGAGUUGGAAAGAAAAUAGUUUUUGCUAGAAAGAUUACGCUCGUAUUAAUUUAAAUGCGUAUAAUUUGUAUUUUUACUUCAUAAUUUUAUUGUCAAAUAUUUCCAACGAAUAAGAAUUUGUAUAUCGAUAUUGUUCGAUAUUUUAGUUUGAGAUUACAAAACUUCUUUUUAGUUUGUCGAUAUUGCAUAUAGGAAAUUUUAUUAUGUCGUCAAUUAAUUAAUGGCAAGUAUGAAUCAUUGACCGUAUUGCGACUUGCUUGAAACUUGAACACGCGGUACAUUUGUGGAUCAAAGUGCCGCUACUUAACUGUAUUUGUCUUCCUCUCUUUCCCUCUAAAGAUAACGUUGAUGUGUGCGUAUAUACAUAUAUUAAACACACGUCUCCCAUAUGUAUAUAAAUACUUAUAUUCUUUGUCUUCUUUCCCCGUAAUCUUUUUCUGGCCUCUCCGCUUCUUUCACCCGUCUCCCCUAUUAGUUAUGCUACGAAUCGUUGGUUGGAACUCGUAUAGUUAAGAGCGAAAUAUCAGUACCAGUUACGCCGCUAAUUCUUUGGACCUUUCGGUUAGCUGUUAGCUUCUGACUAAUUCUUAUUUUAGGCACAAGCGUUGUAUGCGGCGCGACGUCUCGUAAUGGCUGCUUUAAAGAACGAAGUAUAUAAUAGCAGAUAUUUAGAUACAACAGAUAAAUAAGUAGCGAGAGGGGGGGGGGCAUGGAGUAAGAUCGUUGCCACUUGUAACUGUAACAAGUCGCGAUAAUUGACCGUUGGUCAUAUUUGAAAUAGAACAUAGAUCUAUACUUCUUGGCGUUUCUGUUUUUCUUAUGAUCAUAUAGUAUACAGGCUAUGGUGCACAUAAACGGACGUAGCGUACAGUGACCUCGGCGGCAUUCUCCGUGUCGACUUUGUCGACUUUGUCUCCUUAAAACUUCGUGAUCGUACGACGCUUGGAAUUCGUGGUCGAACGAUCAAGCGACUUUGAUGUAUAUCUUUGAAAAUAUUUUUCUCAAUCAGCAAUAACAUCGAUGUUGUCGAUAAUGUUAACAGAUAUUUUAAAUACAAAUGACUCUAUAGAGACAUAUAUUAUAGCUUGUAGAUGUUCAAUAUCGAGGAGGAAAAAUUGUUACACGAGAGUUCGAUAUACGUAAUCUGAGAGUUCGUAUUUAUUUGCAUUAGCGAAUAGUACACGAUAUUAUUGCGAAUUAAAGAGAAAAACGUUUUAGAGGUCAUCUGAUACCCUGAGAUCGCUGUAUUCAGAAAUAUCUUUCUAUAUAUAUACAGGCAUUAUUUGGACAUUACGAUUAGAUAAAGCGUGGAUAUUUUUAUAUGAUUGUACAGUGUUGUUGGGAAGUAUAAUUUAGAAAAGAAAGGCGAAAAUUAUUAUUUAGAGGUGUUGGGAAUUAGACAUGUAUGCAUACUUUGAAUCAUUUAUUGUAAGAAUACGAGAAUUAAUUUAAUUAGUAUGUUUUAUUUAAGAAAACAAGCGAAUCCUGCAACUGUAUUUUUAUCAUGAUUCGAUAGACGUCUAUCAACUAGUCGUUUAACCUCUGCGGAAGUUAAUUACGACGUUAGCCUAACACAACAGUCUAUAGCUAUAUCUACAGAUUUCCGGUUUGCCAUUCUCUUCGUUUUUGAUAUAUGCUGCUACAAGAAAGAGUCUAAUGGAAAAAUACCUUACAAUUCAUACGAAUCCAUAAUUGAUUUUAUUUAUCCAAUAUAAUGUGGUUAAUUUAAUGUGGUUAAAAGGUUACAUCGCGAACUAUAAUUGCGAAUUAUAAUUAAUUAUCCUCGUAAAUUUUCAAUCGAUCGUUUUAGUUUAUCCUAUGAUUAUUAUUUUACAUUCUUCGUUGAUUAUAAUUAUUCGUUACCGAUGCUAAAUAAUUACGUAAUUGUAAUCAUUUGUCAGUUUUCUCGCUAAGAAUUUGUCAUAUUCGUGCGAAUAUACUCGUUCCGAAGCUGAAUAUUUACGUGCGUAGUGAAUCAUGUGUCGUAGAAAGUCCAUUCCGAGCGAAGGAAAAACUUGUUUAAUGCAGUUGCAACGAUCACAAUGUCAAUUUCAAAUCGUGCUUCUCGUGGAAGAGGCUCGCGUAGCAACGGUUUCGCGUGAAUUACGGCGAGUAACAAGAUCGGUGCUCUACUUUGUUCUGAUUCGCGUUGCACGAUGCCGAUAUUCCCUGCUCCGGGAAAUGUUGUUUUCCGCGAUUAUAGAGGAAAGGGGAGAGACGUCGAACGAAAGGCGAUGAAACACGCCAGUUGAACUCGAGACCGAUGCAGGAUGCGUGACAUAAUCGCGACGAUAUACGAGAAUUCACGAUGGGACCGAUUUUUCUCUACGUUUAUCUAUGCCAAGUUAAUAUUUUUAACCUUUAAACGACGACAUAACCUCGAAAUAACACCACGCGUGGAAAGUAAGGGAUACUGUGUACUAGGGAUACAUACGAUGGUAACACGAGAAACGUCUGUUUUCUUCGGUUAAGGCACCAACGACGCUGGAGGAAGGGAAAUACGUGGCGUCGCGUCCGGUAAUCUCCAACGACCCAGCUCGUCGCUCCAAGUGGCCGUGGAUCUGACGGCAGCGACAUCGCGAAACGGACAUCCGGGUCGAAGAUGAGGAACCAUCGCGUCGCAUAUUUGCGAGUCUAUCUCCGGUAGCACCAGUUCUCGCUUGCCUCUCGGACCCGGCAAGAUCCACCAGGUGAAGCCUUCCUCUCUUUACCGGAUUCUCAGUCUUACUGCUCUCUUCGUUAAUGGCCAGCGUUUCCAAGGACAACGUCAACACAGCG